CUACGGGUUGCUCCAGGUAGGUAUAAUCUACAAUGCACGCAAGUGUGAUAGUUUGAGCCAGAGUGCUUUUCAAUGAAAAGCUUUUGCCGAGUGUAAAAAGCUCGGCGAAUAAGGACUGGGUAAGACGAGUGCCAGCCGCCGCGGUAAUACUCGCGGUCCAAGUCGCAGCCAUCUUUAUUGGGUCUAAAACAUCCGUAGCUUGCCAAGCAAGUUCUUUGUGAAAUCCGGCAUCUUAAGUGUUGGGCGGGCAAAGAGUACUGUUUGGCUAGAGACCGGGAGACGUAAGGAGUACAUUCAAAGUAGCGGUAAAAUGUUUUAAUCUUGGAUGGACUCACAAUAGCGAAGGCACCUUACGAGAACGGCUCUGACAGUAAGGGAUGAAGGCUAGGGGCGCAAAACGGAUUAGUACCCCAGUAGUC
This 419-nucleotide ribosomal RNA is filed under the name uncultured archaeon. RNAcentral describes it as "partial 16S ribosomal RNA". It matches the Rfam family "Archaeal small subunit ribosomal RNA", at positions 323 to 746 of the family's 1478-position model. The record is from RNAcentral.